UUUCUGCCAGUUAAAUCGACUGUGUUCUGUUCCCCAUGGGGGCCUGGUGUGCAACAGUGGCAGACAGCAGCCUUCUCGGUAGUGUAUGCCACCUGUUACCUGUACAGGUUGUCCUGAGGGAACUUGGAGACAGCC
Small nucleolar RNA from Cervus hanglu yarkandensis (Yarkand deer), 135 nucleotides. Its record names the gene SNORA70. It matches the Rfam family "Small nucleolar RNA SNORA70". From Rfam's summary of the family: snoRNA U70 seems to be exclusive to mammals and is a member of the H/ACA class of snoRNA which contain H (ANANNA) and ACA box motifs. H/ACA box snoRNAs are involved in the conversion of uridines to pseudouridines (5-ribosyluracil) a constituent of structural RNAs (transfer, ribosomal, small nuclear, and small nucleolar). NCBI's taxonomy places the organism in Eukaryota, Metazoa, Chordata, Mammalia, Artiodactyla, Cervidae. The record is from Ensembl.